Molecule: ribosomal RNA, 752 nt
Filed under: uncultured SAR86 cluster bacterium
Lineage: Bacteria; Pseudomonadati; Pseudomonadota; Gammaproteobacteria
Description: bacterial SSU rRNA
Rfam family: Bacterial small subunit ribosomal RNA
Source: RNAcentral
UAACGCGUAGGAAUCUACCUAGUAGAAGGGGAUAGCCCGAGGAAACUCGGAUUAAUACCGUAUACCUCCUUAGGGAGAAAGAGGGCCUCUCUUGAUGCUCUCGCUAUUAGAUGAGCCUGCGUAAGAUUAGCUUGUUGGUGAGGUAAUGGCUCACCAAGGCUACGAUCUUUAGUUGGUCUGAGAGGACGAUCAGCCACAUUGGGACUGAGACACGGCCCAGACUCCUACGGGAGGCAGCAGUGGGGAAUAUUGGACAAUGGGCGCAAGCCUGAUCCAGCCAUACCGCGUGUGUGAAGAAGGCCCUAGGGUUGUAAAGCACUUUAAGCAGGGAGAAAAAGUUAUAAGUUAAUACCUUAUGGCCUUGAUGUUACCUGCAGAAUAAGCACCGGCUAAUUCCGUGCCAGCAGCCGCGGUAAUACGGAAGGUGCAAGCGUUAAUCGGAAUUACUGGGCGUAAAGCGCGCGUAGGUGGUUUGUUAAGUUGGAUGUGAAAGCCCUGGGCUCAACCUAGGAACUGCAUCCAAAACUAACUCACUAGAGUACGAUAGAGGGAGGUAGAAUUCAUAGUGUAGCGGUGGAAUGCGUAGAUAUUAUGAAGAAUACCAGUGGCGAAGGCGGCCUCCUGGAUCUGUACUGACACUAAGGUGCGAAAGCGUGGGUAGCGAACAGGAUUAGAUACCCUGGUAGUCCACGCCGUAAACGAUGACAACUAGCUGUUGGAAGACAACGUCUUUCAGUGGCGCAGCUAACGUU